Molecule: transfer-messenger RNA, 371 nt
Filed under: bacterium
Lineage: Bacteria
Also listed under: 5 other names
Description: JCVI-SCAAA005 sp913056375 Standard tmRNA
Rfam family: transfer-messenger RNA
About the family: Bacterial tmRNA, also known as 10Sa RNA or SsrA, is named for its dual tRNA and mRNA-like properties. Its role is to liberate the mRNA from a stalled ribosome.
Source: RNAcentral
GGGGGUGUCCCGGUAUUCGACUGGGUGUGGAACUCACUGAGAGCAAGCCGUGGGUGAUGAACGUCCACGUAAAUACGGUCAUCAAAAUUAUAGCUGCAAACAACAGCGACUACGCUCCGGCUCACGCAGCAAUCGCUGCCUGAGUAGGCGUCUCGCGGAGGUAGGCCCGAGGGCCUCCGUUGAGGUGUAACCCUUUACUUGGGCUGGUCUGACUGGGCUUCUGACGGUCAGAUGAGAUCAACUGGAAGUGUACAGUCGUGAGGCGGUCGAUUGCCGACACCGACUGUGAAAACGACAAGUUUCGACUAAGCUUGUAGCGCUUCGUGGGAAAGCAUAUCAGGACGCGAGUUCGACUCUCGCCACCUCCACCA